Molecule: ribosomal RNA, 497 nt
Filed under: uncultured bacterium
Lineage: Bacteria
Description: partial 16S ribosomal RNA
Rfam family: Bacterial small subunit ribosomal RNA
Source: RNAcentral
GAUGAACGCUGGCGGCGUGCCUAAUACAUGCAAGUCGAGCGAACAGACGAGGAGCUUGCUCCUCUGACGUUAGCGGCGGACGGGUGAGUAACACGUGGAUAACCUACCUAUAAGACUGGGAUAACUUCGGGAAACCGGAGCUAAUACCGGAUAAUAUAUUGAACCGCAUGGUUCAAUAGUGAAAGACGGUUUUGCUGUCACUUAUAGAUGGAUCCGCGCCGCAUUAGCUAGUUGGUAAGGUAACGGCUUACCAAGGCAACGAUGCGUAGCCGACCUGAGAGGGUGAUCGGCCACACUGGAACUGAGACACGGUCCAGACUCCUACGGGAGGCAGCAGUAGGGAAUCUUCCGCAAUGGGCGAAAGCCUGACGGAGCAACGCCGCGUGAGUGAUGAAGGUCUUCGGAUCGUAAAACUCUGUUAUUAGGGAAGAACAAAUGUGUAAGUAACUAUGCACGCCUUGACGGUACCCAAUCAGAAAGCCACGGCUAACUACGUG